Molecule: transfer RNA, 83 nt
Filed under: Acidimicrobiaceae bacterium
Lineage: Bacteria; Bacillati; Actinomycetota; Acidimicrobiia; Acidimicrobiales; Acidimicrobiaceae
Description: tRNA-Leu
Rfam family: tRNA
About the family: Transfer RNA (tRNA) molecules are approximately 80 nucleotides in length.
Source: RNAcentral
GCGGGCGUGGCGGAACUGGCAGACGCGCAGGAUUUAGGUUCCUGUUCCUCGGAGUGAGGGUUCGAGUCCCUCCGCCCGCACCC